This 148-nucleotide ribosomal RNA is filed under the name Vibrio sp. F12. Its description in RNAcentral is "partial 23S ribosomal RNA". The stretch from base 1 to 130 matches the Rfam family "Bacterial large subunit ribosomal RNA", at positions 2801 to 2925 of the family's 2925-position model. The record is from RNAcentral. Lineage: Bacteria; Pseudomonadati; Pseudomonadota; Gammaproteobacteria; Vibrionales; Vibrionaceae.
GAGAUGAGUUUUCCCUGACGCUAUAAGCGUCCUAAAGGGUUGUCGUAGACUACGACGUUGAUAGGCAGGGUGUGUAAGUGCUGCGAGGCAUUGAGCUAACCUGUACUAAUUGCCCGUGAGGCUUAACCAUACAACACCCAAGGGGUUU